CCCUUGUAGUACUGGGACUCUAACCAUAGGCCAUGAAUCUGGUCUUGGGACACUGUCAGGUGGGCAGUUUGACUGGGGCGGUCGCCUCCCAAAAGGUAACGGAGGCGCUCAAAGGUUCUCUCAGUACGGUCGGAAAUCGUACGUAGAGUGUAAAGGCAAAAGAGAGCUUGAUUGCAAGACAUACAGGUCGAGCAAGGAUGAAAAUCGGACUUAGUGAUCCGGUGGUUCUGCGUGGAAGGGCCAUCGCUCAACGGAUAAAAGCUACCCUGGGGAUAACAGGCUUAUCUCCCCCAAGAGUCCACAUCGACGGGGAGGUUUGGCACCUCGAUGUCGGCUCAUCACAUCCUGGGGCUGUAGUAGGUCCCAAGGGUUGGGCUGUUCGCCCAUUAAAGUGGUACGCGAGCUGGGUUCAGAACGUCGUGAGACAGUUCGGUCCCUAUCCGUCGCAGGCGUAGGAAAUUUGAGAAGACCUGUCCUUAGUACGAGAGGACCGGGAUGGACG
RNAcentral lists this ribosomal RNA (502 nucleotides) under Clostridioides difficile. Its description in RNAcentral is "partial 23S ribosomal RNA". It matches the Rfam family "Bacterial large subunit ribosomal RNA", at positions 2203 to 2703 of the family's 2925-position model. The record is from RNAcentral. Lineage: Bacteria; Bacillati; Bacillota; Clostridia; Peptostreptococcales; Peptostreptococcaceae.